Molecule: non-coding RNA, 208 nt
Organism: Oryza brachyantha (malo sina)
Lineage: Eukaryota; Viridiplantae; Streptophyta; Magnoliopsida; Poales; Poaceae
Source: Rfam
AAUAAUCUCAUUUUUUAUUUUUUCAUGUCCAACAUUUGAUCAUUCGUCUUAUUUGAAAAAUUUGUACAAAAACUUAAAAAAAUUAAUCAUGUAUAAAAUACUAUUUAUAUUUUAUCAUCUAGUAACAAUAAAAAUAUUAAUCGCAAAAAAUUUCAAAUAAGACGAAUGAUCAAAUGUUAGACACGGGAAAACAAAAAAUGAGGUUAUU